CACAGCCAUACACCACCCAGAACAUGCACCAGUCUUGUCUGAUCUCAGAAGCUAAGCGGGGUCAAGCCUGGUUAGUACUUGGAUGGGAGAAUCCUUUGGCUAGGCUAGAUGAUGGUGGUGC
RNAcentral lists this ribosomal RNA (121 nucleotides) under Peromyscus maniculatus bairdii (prairie deer mouse). Lineage: Eukaryota; Metazoa; Chordata; Mammalia; Rodentia; Cricetidae. The record is from RNAcentral.